UUUUUUUUUUUGCUGCAGUUAAUUCCGCCUUUUCUUGCCCAUCUUCCCACAAAUCACGACUCCUACAAAACUGGCUUCGUGGAAUUGUGCGUUCAAUUCAAUUGCAGAAUGCUCUUAUAAAAUGCAAUUGUCGGCUUUAAAUCUAAAUCAACGCCACAUCGUCCUUUCUUCCCUACCAAAUCAACGCCAAUGACAAGCCUUCUCACAGCUUUUUGGGCGGUUUCAGUAAACCCUACCAACACCUACGCUCUCUUCAAAUCCAAAUGAAAUCAACAUUACUACUGACGUGAGGAGUAAUCUGAAGCCAAUUGUGAAGAAUAGCGAAGAUGGAAUCACCAUUGUCAGUGAUUAAGAGUUGUGGAUCAUGCACUGGAGAAGCUUACAGUUGGACCCCUAAUAAUCAUGAGUUUCAUUAAUUAGAAUUUUACACCUCUGAGAUGUUCAUAUACAUAAUUGAACACCGGAGUGAAUAGUAUAGGCCACCGGAAUGAACCGGUAGAACCACCGGGGGCACCAGAACAAUAAGCUGAAACUGCAGUGUCUCUGCGCUUGCGUGUCAUCGAAUAAUAAAAACGCCUAUCAGCCUUCUCCGAACACAAUUCCGACACCGAUUUCGAUCCGACAGUCAAAUCUUAAAAUUCAAGGACAGGGAACAGCAUAUCAGUCAAUGUUUUAAGGGAGAAUUGGAACUUGUGAAAGAUGCUAAUGUUUAGUGUUGAGAUAGUAGAUAUUCUCAUCAUGAUAUACAUAUUACCGUUGAUGGAGAUAUGGUGAUUACCAUUGAUGAUUGAUACACCCAAAAUCAUUCGGGUUUUUGCUGUUGAUCAGGGUGGUUCUUUGUGUAAAAGAAUGUGAAGUGUCAUCUCAAAUAUAUAAUAAGACGCAAUUUUGUAAGAAUCGUCCACGGUGUUAAUGUAUAAUCUUAGUUGAAAAGGAGAAGAACAGAAGCAAGAAGUUCUUAGCAUUUGCAGUUUUCAACAAGUCUUCUUUUUGGUUGAAAUAAAGAAUCUGAAUUCAUUUUCAGCAAUGAGUAGAGCUAUCGAUUUCGAGAUUGCGCGACAGGCGGAGCUCUAUAACCAAGGGAAAGACGAUGAAGUUGUGCAAGAAACACGUCUCUGGGAAGAAGGCUCUCAGAAAACAGUUACAAUGAGGAAAAAGGAAGGACUUGCAGAUUAUAGAUAUUUUCCUGAACCUGACCUUCCGGAAGUUAUACUUACAGAAGAGUAUGUGAAAGAUAUCCGUGAUUCUUUACCUGAACUUCCGGAAAUGAAGCGCCGAAGAUAAGAUAUGAGGAGAUGGAUCUGACCAUGCAGGAUGUUCUUUUUCUCGCAAAUGAUGUACAAGUGUUGGUGUUUACUGAAAUACCUGAGUGAGUGUUAAUCUCAUAAUGGUCUCCACAUUUUAAUAAAGACAAUGUCAUGUAGAUACUUUUUUGCCUAGAACAAUAAAGCUUGUACAAGUUGCAGCUAUUGCAGCUACUAGAGAUAGUGCUAGAUCUACUUUCUCUUGUGGAGCUUAAUGUAUGAUGGAAAUCACUUCUUGAUGUCGGUGGUAGGGUCGCCCGGGUCUUAACCCGCUUAUGACCCGGUAAUAAUAGGCAUGCAUUUGUAUGGUGAUGCUAUUACCACAUUAAAGUACCCAUCCACCAGAGGGUAAAAAGCUAGCGUCUAUUUUUCUUGGUGGCUUUAUAUUGAAAAUAUGGCUAUAUUUAUCUAUCUAAUGUAUGACUUGAAGAUUAGUUUUUAGUUAAUAAUAGAUGAUUUCUAAAAAGCAUUCAUUGGGUACACUGUCAUGGUACUUACAAAAGUUGCGCUAUCCUCUUCAUUCAGCCUCACGGUGGCAGUCCAUGGGCAUAACUUUAGGGGCAUAACUUUAGCCUGGGAGCAGACGGGGAUGGAAUUAGAGGGACCAAUGAGUUUUCGGUUAAAAGCAUUCGGGACAAAGCUUAGUGCCUCGCUUCUAUAGACUUUGCCUUCGAGUUAGAGUGCAAUAACUGGGCAUUAUGGUUGAUUUUCUGAUUUGGAGGAUCGUUCAAGACAAACUCCCAACAACUACGGCUCUAGCAAGGAGGAACAUCUUUGUGCUUAAUACUCGGUGCAAGAUGUGCGAAGAUGAGGACGAAUCGGCCUUGCAUCUGUUUGUUUCAUGUCGUAUAGCGGUACUGGUGUGGGAGGUUAUCUCACAAUGGUGCAAGUUAAGCCCAAUAUAUAUUUUGGAACUAAAGGAUUCGGCCAAUAUUAACAAGCGAAAUCGAGGAAGUGGAGGAAGUCACUAUCUAUGGUGACCCUGAAAGUGAUUUUGGUUAUAUGGAGGAGUCGCAACGAGUCGGUCUUCAAUGGCAAGCAAAUCAUUAUAACAAGGAUAAAGUAAGACAAUAAAGUGUUUGGAUAUAUGUGGUUGAAGAAUUGGGUGAAAGCUGGUAACCCAACUUGGGAGAAUUAGUGUACUUUAUUUUACCAUGUUUGGGGAUAUGAGACUAGGAGUAUAUGAAUCUUUGGUGUAUAGUUGGUGUAAUAUUAUGUUUAAUAGUUGGUUAACCAAAAUUAUAUGGAUAAAAUUUCGUUGGUCUUUCAAAAAAAAAUAUUACGUUAAGUAUCGGGUCAA
Molecule: long non-coding RNA, 2604 nt
Organism: Helianthus annuus (common sunflower)
Lineage: Eukaryota; Viridiplantae; Streptophyta; Magnoliopsida; Asterales; Asteraceae
Exons: 13
Source: RefSeq, a predicted model, not a curated record